GGAGCUGCUGGAGCCUGUGGAACGUUGAGCAGCUUUUACUAUCCAUGUGAGAUAUCUUGUGAUCUGUUACACUACACUCAGGGCCUGCACUGUUUCAUCUCUGAGUUCUUUUCAUCAGUCAAAAGGUGGAGACAGAAAGUAAAGAGCUCUGUCAGGAGGAGAAAGAAAUUAGAAAACAAGUGUGUGCGUGUGUGCAUGCGUGUGGGACUAAAUUCUUGUGAAAUACUGGACCUGAUGGCUGGGUUUAUAAAAAGCAAGGGAAGAAAAUGGGAAGAACCAGAUUGA
Molecule: long non-coding RNA, 285 nt
Filed under: Meleagris gallopavo (turkey)
Lineage: Eukaryota; Metazoa; Chordata; Aves; Galliformes; Phasianidae
Description: lncRNA (ENSMGAG00000022855.1)
Source: RNAcentral